This 446-nucleotide ribosomal RNA is filed under the name uncultured bacterium. RNAcentral describes it as "partial 16S ribosomal RNA". It matches the Rfam family "Bacterial small subunit ribosomal RNA", at positions 338 to 795 of the family's 1533-position model. The record is from RNAcentral.
CCUACGGGCGGCAGCAGUCGAGAAUUAUUCACAAUGGGGGAAACCCUGAUGGUGCGACGCCGCGUGGGGGAAUGAAGGUCUUCGGAUUGUAAACCCCUGUCAUGUGGGAGCAAAUUAAAAAGAUAGUACCACAAGAGGAAGAGACGGCUAACUCUGUGCCAGCAGCCGCGGUAAUACAGAGGUCUCAAGCGUUGUUCGGAAUCACUGGGCGUAAAGCGUGCGUAGGCUGUUUCGUAAGUCGUGUGUGAAAGGCGCGGGCUCAACCCGCGGACGGCACAUGAUACUGCGAGACUAGAGUGAUGGAGGGGGAACCGGAAUUCUCGGUGUAGCAGUGAAAUGCGUAGAUAUCGAGAGGAACACUCGUGGCGAAGGCGGGUUCCUGGACAUUAACUGACGCUGAGGCACGAAGGCCAGGGGAGCGAAAGGGAUUAGAUACCCGGGUAGUC